AUUGAACGCUGGCGGCAGGCCUAACACAUGCAAGUCGAGCGGAUGAAGGGAGCUUGCUCCUGGAUUCAGCGGCGGACGGGUGAGUAAUGCCUAGGAAUCUGCCUGGUAGUGGGGGAUAACGUCCGGAAACGGGCGCUAAUACCGCAUACGUCCUGAGGGAGAAAGUGGGGGAUCUUCGGACCUCACGCUAUCAGAUGAGCCUAGGUCGGAUUAGCUAGUUGGUGGGGUAAAGGCCUACCAAGGCGACGAUCCGUAACUGGUCUGAGAGGAUGAUCAGUCACACUGGAACUGAGACACGGUCCAGACUCCUACGGGAGGCAGCAGUGGGGAAUAUUGGACGAUGGGCGAAAGCCUGAUCCAGCCAUGCCGCGUGUAUGAAGAAGGUCUUCGGAUUGUAAAGCACUUUAAGUUGGGAGGAAGGGCAGUAAGUUAAUACCUUGCUGUUUUGACGUUACCAACAGAAUAAGCACCGGCUAACUUCGUG
This 484-nucleotide ribosomal RNA is filed under the name uncultured bacterium. Its description in RNAcentral is "partial 16S ribosomal RNA". It matches the Rfam family "Bacterial small subunit ribosomal RNA", at positions 30 to 507 of the family's 1533-position model. The record is from RNAcentral.